GGGGUGUGCUCAGAGCAGGGGGCCCGAAGAAUGGCUCCUCUGUUUACAACACACCCAACAGGAAUUCUGGGGCUAUGAUGAUGAGAGGCACAACACUUGUGGCCUCCCCGUGAGCAUAUGCCCUACACAU
Molecule: small nucleolar RNA, 130 nt
Organism: Marmota marmota marmota (Alpine marmot)
Lineage: Eukaryota; Metazoa; Chordata; Mammalia; Rodentia; Sciuridae
Source: Ensembl